AUGCGUAGCCUGAGCCCCCUGUACUCUUUCCUCCUCCUCCUUACCGGCGCAACCAUGGCCGCCGCGGACCCUUGGUCCACCGACUGCCCGAGCGACACAAACUACACCCGCGGCGGCGUCUUCCAGGCCAACCUCGACGCCCUCCUCUCGUUCCUCUCCGCCGCUGCGUCGGACGCGUCCGGGUUGGCCGAGAACACCACCGGCACAGCGCCCGACGAGGCGUACGGUCUCGCGCACUGCCGCGCCGACGUCAAUGCAUCCGAGUGCCGCUCGUGCCUCGACACCUGGGCGCGGGACGCAGCCAUCAAGUGCCCCGGCCAGAAAAAGUCCACGCUCUUCUACGACGCCUGCCUCCUGCGCCACUAG
RNAcentral lists this ribosomal RNA (366 nucleotides) under Triticum aestivum (bread wheat). Its description in RNAcentral is "partial small subunit ribosomal RNA". Lineage: Eukaryota; Viridiplantae; Streptophyta; Magnoliopsida; Poales; Poaceae. The record is from RNAcentral.